Long non-coding RNA from Daphnia carinata, 1867 nucleotides. RefSeq lists it as uncharacterized. NCBI's taxonomy places the organism in Eukaryota, Metazoa, Arthropoda, Branchiopoda, Diplostraca, Daphniidae. The transcript is spliced from 5 exons. The record is from RefSeq and is a predicted model, not a curated record.
AGUGUGUCUUGUAUUGCCAACGCUGCUGAUGUCUGAAAUAACAAUGGCCUAGAGCAAAGAAAAGGAAGCAUUCGUCUUUAAAACAACCGACUACGCAGCAACAUGCAACCAUGUAUCUACCAUUAUCAUAAGGGUUUGUUAUUAGAAACACAGAGUUAAACAUCCGGAAUUGGCACAGCAGCAAAGCUUCAACUUCAAAAUAGUUGGAAGCCAUACAAGUAAUAGUAUUUAUUUAAAAUUUUACGUUUCUCAAUCUGAAGUUGAGUGCUGAGAAGCUCUUCCCGUGUUCAUAUAUAAUUGAAAUGUUCAAGUGAUGUGAACGAGGUAGGACAUCCAUUUAGAUCCAAAUCAUUCUAACAUCUAGAGAUCUUGCGUAGUUUGUCAUAAGUAAUCCCUCAAUCGUCCUCCAUUUUACUAUACCAUUCUAUUCCACAAAUUCAAAGCUAAUUCCAAUUACAAAGGGAACGGCCUCCUUGCGGAUAUUUAUUUAUUACGUAUAAAUUUAUCUUUGUUUAAUGUAUUUCUUUGAAAGUGAAAAUGCAGGCAGAACGAAACGGAAUCACUAAGAGCCGUUUUGGUCAGUGUGGGAACGGGGUGAAGUUAAAUCCGGCUGAGGUCUAAAGGCGAAGCCUUAAGCACGGGAUUUAUUUAAUAAAUUUACAAUUCGGGUGAUUUUUUAUUCUUAUUUCACAUCAUGUAAACUAUAUACACACCUUUUGAUUUUAUGCUUAAUAGGCUUUCUCGAAUAUACGCGGCGGAUGUUUUAAAAUUGCAUUAUGUCUGUAUAUUGGAGUAGGCCUAUCGUAGUUUAAAUCCCAGAAGUGUGUGAUUCAUUCCUCAUCAGGGCAAAACAUAUAGUUAACAAGAUGUCGAAUUAAGUUGUCGAUCGAGGAAGUUUUCAAUCCUUUCUGUUGAUUUCGUCGAAGGUUUUCGGCCGGAUUGCACUCAACUCAUCCCCAUACUGACCGAAAUGGCUCUGGAUGAUUUCGUUUGCUUUCCAAUAGACAAUCAUUCCAUCUAUUUCAAAGCGUGCUUUAUACUUGAGAAAACCGAAUACGCCUUGAUAAGUCUGCACGUGAGGCCGUUUCCCCUGUAGUUGGAAUGAAAUGGUAUGGUAGAAUGGUUGAAAAUUAGAUGAACUUGAAUUAACAGAUAUUUUUCUGGAUUUUUUUUAUCGCACACAUCACGUACAGUCUACAUUUUUCAAUAGCAGUGGUACAUAUUAAUCUGUCCUGAUUGUAAAUUAAUAGAAAAUUCUGAUGUUCAAUAAUUCUUGAAAUGCACAAAACUUAUCUUUAAAGGAUUAAGAUUUUAGUUAGUGGUAAUCUUAAUAGCCAUGUUUUUCUUGAAUCGUUAUAAUAUUUUUCCCUUCCAGAUUACGUUAAAUCAAGGGAUUUCUCUCCUACUAUAAUUACAACAAGGAGUCACAUCAAUUCCAAACAAGUUAACAAUGAAGGUUUUAUGGAAAAGCACUAGCACGUAACCUGGAUGAGCCCGGCGGAUCUCCUUAGCCAAGGUUUAAAAUGUUUUCUCUGUCUGGCUGUUACGCAAAACAAGGGUGCGUGACACAUACUAAAUCGGGUUACUAAUAUUGAUGGAUUUACAUUGCGCCGGAAAAAUUGCAGCUAGCAUCAACAGCCGUUAAAUUUCCCAAGGAUCUACGUAGGCGUCUCCAAUUGGAUAUGAAACAUCCUACUGACUGUCACCGUUUUACAAUGUGCUGAAAGAUACAAGAAAAACCUGGUGAUUAUGUGUUGAUAUUUAUGCGACUAAAAGCUGGCAAGACCUGGGAAGUACUAUUUUAAACAAAAACACGUAAGAUUAUUUAUUCUUAAACUACAGUUUGAUGCUGGUCAGACACGCUUGU